Molecule: long non-coding RNA, 1056 nt
Organism: Gorilla gorilla gorilla (western lowland gorilla)
Lineage: Eukaryota; Metazoa; Chordata; Mammalia; Primates; Hominidae
Exons: 7
Source: RefSeq, a predicted model, not a curated record
UAAAAGAUUAAGUUCAACUCCCAUUUGUUCUCUCUGACUCACACUCAUUUGCCAUGUGAUGCCUUCCUCCAUGAGAUGACUCUCAUCAAUUGCUGACACCAUAUUCUUGGACGUCAUGGCCUCCAGACCAUGAGCCAAAUAAAUCUCUUUUCUUCAUAAAUUACCCAAUCUGUGGUAUUUUGUCCCAGCAGCAGAAAAUGGACUGAGAGAGAACAUUGUUAUUGAGAAGUGGAGCUGUUGCUAUAACAAAUACCUGAAAAUAUGGAUAUGGCUUUGAAACAGGGUAAUGGGUAGAGGCUGGAAGAAUUUGAGGAGCAAGCUAGCAAAGGCCUAGAUUGUCCUAAACAGAGCAUUAAGGGUGAUUCUGGUGAGGGUUCAGAAAAGAAGAAAUGCAGGGAAAGUAGGUGAUACGGUUUGGAUUUGUGUCUCCGCCUAAAUUUCAUGUCUGAAUUUUAAUCCCCAGUAUUGGAGGAGGAGCCUGGUGGAGGGGAUUGGAUCAUGGGGACAGACUACCUCCUUGCUGUUCUUGUGAUGAUGAUGCCCACCAGAUGCCAGUGCCAUGCUCUUGGACUUCCCAGCCUCCAGAACCAUACCCUGGGAAUUCUAAGUGAAUUUGGAAUACUGGAAAUACCAAACAAGCAACCACUUCCUGGAAAACAACCUGACAAAAAGAUGAAAACAGUGAAAAGAGGUCUUUUGCACAUUUAACAAUGGUCAUCAUGAGUGAAGUCUUGAGCCACUGAGCCACUACCACCUUGUGCCAAAUACUAUCUGUGCCCUGCCUGCCAACCAGGAUGACAACCCUUCACCUGCCAGGAGUUGAUUCAAGCAAUAGGGAAGCAAGUUAAACGAUACCAGGUGAAAGCAACCAGACAAACCCAGAAGGUGGACCAAUCUGCAGGACAACUGGACUGGUCUUUUUAAAAAGACACUAAGAUAAAAGGCAGACUGUGCUAGCCUUUCAAGUAUAUGUCAGAAUACCCUAAGAGCCUUUGAGAGCCUGUGUUCCAGGUCAGGAGUCAGAGAUGGAGGUUACAGAGACAUGGAAGAACUCAG